RNAcentral lists this ribosomal RNA (500 nucleotides) under uncultured bacterium. RNAcentral's name for it is "partial 16S ribosomal RNA". It matches the Rfam family "Bacterial small subunit ribosomal RNA", at positions 30 to 523 of the family's 1533-position model. The record is from RNAcentral.
AUUGAACGCUGGCGGCAUGCCUUACACAUGCAAGUCGAACGGCAGCACGGGAGCAAUCCUGGUGGCGAGUGGCGAACGGGUGAGUAAAGUAUCGGAACGUGCCCAGUCGUGGGGGAUAACGUAGCGAAAGUUACGCUAAUACCGCAUACGAUCUAUGGAUGAAAGCGGGGGAUCGCAAGACCUCGCGCGAUUGGAGCGGCCGAUAUCAGAUUAGGUAGUUGGUGGGGUAAAGGCCCACCAAGCCGACGAUCUGUAGCUGGUCUGAGAGGACGACCAGCCACACUGGGACUGAGACACGGCCCAGACUCCUACGGGAGGCAGCAGUGGGGAAUUUUGGACAAUGGGUGAAAGCCUGAUCCAGCCAUGCCGCGUGCAGGAUGAAGGCCUUCGGGUUGUAAACUGCUUUUGCACGGAACGAAAAGGACUGCCCUAAUACGGUGGUCCCAUGACGGUACCGUAAGAAUAAGCACCGGCUAACUACGUGCCAGCAGCCGCGGUAA